Molecule: ribosomal RNA, 278 nt
Filed under: Paenibacillus polymyxa
Lineage: Bacteria; Bacillati; Bacillota; Bacilli; Caryophanales; Paenibacillaceae
Description: partial 23S ribosomal RNA
Rfam family: Bacterial large subunit ribosomal RNA
Source: RNAcentral
UGCCAAGGCUAAAUACUCCCUGGCGACCGAUAGUGAAGCAGUACCGUGAGGGAAAGGUGAAAAGCACCCCGGAAGGGGAGUGAAAUAGAUCCUGAAACCGUGUGCUUACAAGAAGUCAGAGCCCUAUGAUAUUUUCCUUUGGAAAAAUCACGGGUGAUGGCGUGCCUUUUGUAGAAUGAACCGGCGAGUUACGUUCCCGUGCAAGGUUAAGGUGAAGAGCUGAAGCCGCAGCGAAAGCGAGUCUGAAUAGGGCGAAUGAGUACGUGGACGUAGACCCG